This 4700-nucleotide ribosomal RNA is filed under the name Patescibacteria group bacterium. Its description in RNAcentral is "23S ribosomal RNA". It matches the Rfam family "Bacterial large subunit ribosomal RNA". The record is from RNAcentral.
GGAAAUUUAAGAGCAUAUGGUGGAUGCCUUGACUCUAAGAGGCGAUGAAGGACGUAGCGUAGCUGCGAUAAGCUUCGGGGAGGUGCCUAGCAACCUUUGAUCCGGAGAUCUCCGAAUGGGGAAACCUAUUCCGAUGCAAAUCGGAAUCUUCUGGCGCAAGUCAGAGAGCGUACCCAGGGAAGUAAAACAUUUCAGUACCUGGUGGAAAAUAAAACAAUGUCGCGUAAGCGACGACAUUUCCUUAGUAGUGGCGAGCGAAAAGGAAAUAGCCCAGAUCGGUCGCGCCUCGUUGGAUUCGUCACGACAGCUUUUAGUUUUUAGCUAUCAGCUUUUAGCUUUCAAAUUCAGGAAGCUAACAGUCAGAAGCUUACAGCUAUUAGUCUGCAGUGCCGAGGACAGCGAGGCGCGACUGAAGUAGUAAGGCGGCAACUUCAUUAUUUAUAAUGAGAAAAGUUACAAAAUAUUUCGUUAGCAGAAUUUGCUGGGAAGCAAAGCCCUAGAGGGUAAUAGCCCCGUAAGUGAAAAUGAAAUAUCUUUUCCGUUGCCGUUCUUGAGUACCUCAAGACACGAAUGGCUUGGGGGAAUCUGCCGGAACUAACCGGUAAGGCUAAAUACUCUUAGAGAUCGAUAGUGAACAAGUACCGUGAGGGAAAGGUGAAAAGCAGCCCGGUAAGGGCGGUGAAAUAGACCUGAAACCAUAUGCUUACAAGGAGUCGGAGUCCCUCACCAAUUUUGUGUUGUAGAAUUUUUCUAGAACCCAAAAUUGGUGAGUGGAUCACGGCGUGCCUAUUGAAGAAUGAGCCAACGAGUUGAUGUAAGCUGCUUAGCUAAGCCCCCAAAGGGUGGAGCUGUAGGGAAACCGAGUGUGAAUAGCGCGUUUGUAGUAUACAUCAGACCCGAAGCCAAGUGAGCUUGCCAUGAGCAGGGUGAAUCCCGACGAAAGUCGGGAGGAGGCCCGAACCGGUUAGCCGUGCAAUACUAUCGGAUGACUUGUGGUAAGAAGUGAAAAGCUAAUCGAACUUGGUAAUAGCUGGUUCUCUCCGAAAUAGCUUUUGGGCUAGCGUCUGGAUUACCUUUUGGGGGUAGAGCACUGGAUGGUCUAAACAGGGAGAAAUCUCAUUAGACCAAUCAAACUCCGAAUACCAGAAGUAAACUUCCAGGCAGUUAGACCGUGGGGGCUAAGCUCCAUUGGUCAAAAGGGAAACAGCCCGGAUCUCAACUUAAGGUCCCUAAAUCUACGCUAAGUACGCUUGAGGUGGUGGAAUUUCACAGACAGUGAGGAUGUUGGCUUAGAAGCAGCCAUCAUUUAAAGAUAGCGUAACAGCUCACUCACUAAGAGAUUCUGCGCCGCAGAUAAUCGGGGUUAAGCAUAGUACCGAAAUUGAGGAUGUCAUUUUGCUUCGGCAGAAUGGCGUGGUAGGAGAGUAUUCUCAUCGCGAUGAAGCCAAAGGCGCGAGCCAUGGUGGAGCGUUGAGAAGUAAGAAUGUUGGCACAAGUAACCACAAUGCGGGUGAGAACCCCGCACGCCGAAAGACCAAGGUUUCCUUGGCGAUGUCAAUCAGCCAAGGGUUAGUCGGGCCUAAGGGGAUGGCGAAAGCCGCACCCGAUGGACACAUGGUUAAUAUUCCAUGACUUUUAUGUGUUGUGACGGGAGGACGGAGUCUAGUAUGUUUUGCGCAUUAUUGGAUUUGCGUUCGUGUCGCAAGAAGGGCUUCCAGGAAAAUCCGGAAGCGAGCCGUAAGAAGGCACCCUCCAAGCGAAGCGAAAAUUUGCCGGUUCGCCGGUGAAAAUAAAACAAAGCAGACUCUCAAGAAAAUUCUCUAAACUUAAAUACAUAAAAUCCGUACCGCAAACCGACACAGGUGGUCAGCUCGAGUAGAGCAAGGCGAACGAGUGAGAGGUCCCCAAGGAACUCGGCAAAAAAGCAGCCGUAACUUCGGAAUAAGGCUUCCCCUCACCAAUUUUGGGCUAUAAUUGCAAAAUGUAUUAUGUGUAUCUGAUUCAGCAUGACCUUUCGAGAGAAAUCUAUAUCGGUUUAACAACUGAUCCGAAAGAGCGAUUGCGAACGCACAAUGGCAAAGGUAAAAAAUUUACUACCAGAAAAUCUGGCAUGUGGCAUUUUAUUUACCUUGAGCUCUUUCGUUCACAGCAAGACGCUAUCGAUCGCGAGAAAAAACUGAAAGGUCACGCAAAAGGAAAACACGAACUUCUCAAGCGACUAAAAUAUAGUUUGCUUGAGCCCAAAAUUGGUGAGGGGCGCAGCUAAAGUAUCUCUGGCAACUGUUUAUCAAAAACACAGCUCCCUGCGAACUCGCAAGAGGAUGUAUAGGGGGUGACACUUGACCAAUGCCAGAAGGUCAAACAACGACGGUGCCAAGCACCACUUUUGACGGAAUAUCAAUGUGAUUAUUUUAAAGUUUAUUUGGAAAAUAUUUUAAAGUUAUUACAAAAAGUAUUAUUUCAAAAGUGGUGCUCGGUGCUGAUUGUUGUAAGCCCUGGUGAAUGUCGGCCGUAACUAUAGAUUUGACCGUUGUAGUUACGCUAAAAAAUCUUGCUAUAUGCUGGAAACUCUGGUCCAUCAUUUAUUUAAAAAUAAGUGAUGGAAAAAAGUGUUCAUUAUUACUCGCUUUCAUCGAAAAGCAGUGACAAUAUAAUGACGCAGACAAUCAGCAGGAAAGACUUCUUUUGUAAUCAAAAGUAAAUAUGAAUUGGUUAAGCCAAAUCAAACCGGAUAUGGGAAACUAUAUCGCGGGAUUCACUGACGGCGAAGGAAGCUUCAAUGUUUCAGUGAAAAAGAGAAUUGAUUACAGAGAUCAAUGGAAAUUGACCGCUUCGUUCAAUAUUUCUCAAAAAGAUCGCGUCAUUCUGGCUCUUAUUAAAAAAGAGAUUGGAUGUGGGACUUUGCGAGAAAGAAAAGACGGGGUUGUUUAUUAUGAAGUGACCAAUAUCACUUCUCUGAAAGAAAGAAUAAUCCCGUUUUUUAAACGGUUCGGAUUUCUUUCAGUGCGAAAAAAGACAAAUUUUUCUAUUUUCUCUUCUAUUGUUGAGAAAAUGGCAGACGGAGAACAUCUGACAGAAGAAGGUUUUCAGAAAAUUCUUGAACUAAGAGAAAUUCUUAAUGAGGGAAAAGGAAGAAAACGAAAAUAUAAUUUAUCAGAUUGCGUAUCAAAAGAAGAAUCCUCAGAGACUAUACGCAAGACGGUUUCAAAUUAAUUGAAUGUCGACGAUUUGAAGACGAUGAUAUAGUCCGAUCUCUCUAGCGAUAGAGAGUUAACAAAUAGUUAAAAUUGAUAAACAGAGACUGCUAAGUUGAAGCAUUGUUUGGUGCUAAGCUACAAAAUAUAAACGGUCCUAAGGUAGCGAAAUUCCUUGUCAGGUAAGUUCUGACGCGCACGAAUAGUGUAAUGACUGGAGAACUGUCUCGGGGGCUUGCUCGGUGAAAAUACAAUACCGGUGAAGAUGCCGGUUACCUGCAGCUAGACGAAAAGACCCUAGGAGCUUUACUGCAAUUUUAUAUUGAGUGUAUGUUUCAACUGCGUAGCGUAGACGGGAGACUUUGAAGUUUCGUUCUCGGACGAAAUGGAGUCGCCGAUGAAACACCGUUCUUUUGUGAUAUGCAUUCUAAUCCGCGCGGCAAAAACGCGCGGCGACAGUAUAUGAUGGGCAGUUUUAGUGGGGCGCUAUCCUCCUAAAAAGUAACGGAGGAGCCUAUUAAGGUUGGCUAAGCGCGAAUGGAAACCGUGCUGAUAGUGUAAUGGCACAAGCCAGCUUGACUGCAAGGCGUACUUGCCGAGCAGGCGCGAAAGCGGAGCAUAGUGAACCGACGGCCCGCAUUAGACGCGGCCAAAGAUUAUCGGACAAAAGCUACCCUAGGGAUAACAGGCUGGUAGUGCCUAAGAGUUCAUAUCGACGGCACUGUUCGGCACCUCGAUGUCGGCUCAACUUAUCCUGGGGCUGGAGAAGGUCCCAAGGGUUUGGCUGUUCGCCAAUUAAAAAGUUACGCGAGCUGGGUUCAGACCGUUCAGCGGCGAAUCAAACAAUUCGCAAUUGGACAGUCUGAAUCCCAUCGAAUUAUUUUCGUUUAAAACAAAUAUGGAUUCAAGAUUCAUAUUUAUAGAAGAUAGGAAUAGUAUGAUCAAUCAAUCACGGCGGUCGCGCAGCGAAAUCUGCGCUGAUCAAGUCGAUUAAUUUCGGGAGAAUCCCCGCAUUUAGAUAAUGCGAGGACGAUACCGAGGGAAGAGGGCAGAAAAGUAAAACUUUGUCGCGAGUACGCGACAUAAGUGUCCGCUCAGUGUACCCUGAGCUCCCCUUACCCGUAGAGACUAAACAUCGACGCUCUUUUUUCGGCAGGUUUGUCGGAAGAAGAACAAGCUAUAGUCCAAUGCAUCUGGCAACAGGUGAAAUCAUGCGUGAGACAGGUUGGUCUCCUAUCUACUGCAGGCGUUGAUUCUUGAGGGGAUUUGACUCUAGUACGAGAGGACCGAGUUGAACUGACCUCUGGUCUGCCUGCUGUCGUGCCAACGGCACCGCAGGGCAGCUAUGUCGGGAAUGGAUAACCGCUGAAAGCAUCUAAGCGGGAAGCCAACCCCAAGAUUAGGAAUCGUUAUGAGACCCGUGAGAGAUGAUCACGUCGAUAGGCUUUAGGUGUAAGUGCUGUAAAGCAUUGAGCCAUGAAGUACUAAUCCGUCCAUUUCGUCCGG